GGGGGCACCUGAUCAGCAUGCCGCGUGAGUGAAGAAGGCCUUCGGGUUGUAAAGCUCUUUUGUCAGGGAAGAAACACCGGCUCUAACACAGUCCGGGAAUGACGGUACCUGAAGAAUAAGCACCGGCUAACUACGUGCCAGCAGCCGCGGUAAUACGUAGGGUGCGAGCGUUAAUCGGAAUUACUGGGCGUAAAGCGUGCGCAGGCGGUUAUACAAGACAGGCGUGAAAUCCCCGGGCUUAACCUGGGAAUGGCGCCUGUGACUGUAUAGCUAGAGUGUGUCAGAGGGGGGUAGAAUUCCACGUGUAGCAGUGAAAUGCGUAGAUAUGUGGAGGAAUACCAAUGGCGAAGGCAGCCCCCUGGGAUAACACUGACGCUCAUGCACGAAAGCGUGGGGAGCAAACAGGAUUAGAUACCCUGGUAGUCCACGCCCUAAACGAUGCUGACUAGUUGUUCGGGAUUUACAUCCUGAGUAACGUAGCUAACGCGUGAAGUCAGCCGCCUGGGGAGUACGGUCGCAAGAUUAAAACUCAAAGGAAUUGACGGGGACCCGCACAAGCGGUGGAUGAUGUGGAUUAAUUCGAUGCAACGCGAAAAACCUUACCUACCCUUGACAUGUCACUAACGAAGUAGAGA
RNAcentral lists this ribosomal RNA (635 nucleotides) under uncultured bacterium. RNAcentral describes it as "bacterial SSU rRNA". It matches the Rfam family "Bacterial small subunit ribosomal RNA", at positions 374 to 1006 of the family's 1533-position model. The record is from RNAcentral.